RNAcentral lists this long non-coding RNA (306 nucleotides) under Mytilus galloprovincialis (Mediterranean mussel). The record is from RNAcentral. Lineage: Eukaryota; Metazoa; Mollusca; Bivalvia; Mytilida; Mytilidae.
UUGGUUCAACAGUUGUAGUGAUAGCUUCCGUUGUUGUAGGUUCUACAGUUGUAGUGACAGCCUCUGUUGAAGUAGGUUCAACAGUUGUAGUGAAAGCUUCUGUUGUUGUAGGUUCAACAGUUGUAGUGACAGCUUCUGUUGUAGUAGGUUCUACAGUUGUAGUGACAGAUUCUGUUGUAGUAGGUUCUACAGUUGUAGUGACAGAUUCUGUUGUAGUAGGUUCUACAGAUGUAGUGGCAGCUUCUGUUGUUGUAGGUUCAACAGUUGUAGUGAUAGCUUCUGUUGUAGUAGGCUCUACAGUUGUAG